Athalia rosae (coleseed sawfly) is the source of this 90-nucleotide small nucleolar RNA. RefSeq annotates it as small nucleolar RNA snR60/Z15/Z230/Z193/J17. The record is from RefSeq and is a predicted model, not a curated record. Lineage: Eukaryota; Metazoa; Arthropoda; Insecta; Hymenoptera; Athaliidae. The transcript has a single exon.
AUUAUUAACAUGAUGUGACCAUAGUUCAACUGAAAAACAUUGAUGCACAUAUUAUAAGCAAAUGUCUUUCGCUCCUAUCUGAUUAGUAGC